GUUGAGGUGGCAGAAUAGUGCAUUAGGCUUAAGUCCUAAAGAUAAAGAUGAAAUCUCUUUUCUUAAUA
This 68-nucleotide transfer RNA is filed under the name Perotrochus quoyanus. RNAcentral describes it as "tRNA-Leu". It matches the Rfam family "tRNA". From Rfam's summary of the family: Transfer RNA (tRNA) molecules are approximately 80 nucleotides in length. Their secondary structure includes four short double-helical elements and three loops (D, anti-codon, and T loops). RNAcentral also lists the same sequence under 1 other name. Lineage: Eukaryota; Metazoa; Mollusca; Gastropoda; Pleurotomariida; Pleurotomariidae. The record is from RNAcentral.